UUUGCCGGUUAACAGGUCGAAUCUGAACCCCGUCAGGUCCGGAAGGAAGCAGCGGUAAGAGGAAAGCUUGUGUAGCCGGCUUUUUA
RNAcentral lists this signal recognition particle RNA (86 nucleotides) under Ignavibacteriales bacterium. RNAcentral's name for it is "signal recognition particle sRNA small type". It matches the Rfam family "Bacterial small signal recognition particle RNA". Rfam says of the family: The signal recognition particle (SRP) is a universally conserved ribonucleoprotein involved in the co-translational targeting of proteins to membranes. Archaeal SRP consists of a 7S RNA and homologues of the eukaryotic SRP19 and SRP54 proteins. Lineage: Bacteria; Pseudomonadati; Ignavibacteriota; Ignavibacteria; Ignavibacteriales. The record is from RNAcentral.